GUUCAGCCCUGUUAAGUGCUUGUGCAAUGCUCCAGAACAUGAUGGGUGUUGAACACCCUUCUGCUAUCCUGUCUCUAGGCUGGUAUGGGUACGAGUUCCUCAUUUUAGUUUUUCUCAACACAUACACAGAUUGCAGAAAACAUAAUGGUAUAGUGGGCAAAUCAUUACAAAGUAAAUAUUUCUGUCACCAACUUAGAAAAGAUCAUGCUAAGCCCUAGAAGUCCCUCAUGCUCCUUCCAGUCCCAUCACCUGUUAUCCUCUCUAAAGGAAACCAUGGCCUGAUGGUUCGGGGGACACUUGCUUGCUUCUCCCUAGAGUUUUACCGCCAUCUUGUGUAUACCUUAACAUUAUGCUUUAGUGUUUCUUGGUUUUGAACUUUACAGGGAUGGAAUCAUACGGUGUACGUUAUCUUAACGUCUGGAUUCUUUAGCUCACUGUUUUUAAGGGUCAUUCACUUUGGAGUGGUACAACCAUAGUUUUUCAUUUUUAUUGCUGUACAUUAAUUUGCUGUGUGAACACACCACAAUUUAUCCAUUCCUCUAUGAAUGGAUAUUUGGGUUGUUUUUGGUGGUCACCAAUAAUGUUGCCAAAAACAUUCUUGUAAGUAUCUCAGUUAUCUAGUCCACAGUUCCCGGAAACUUAGUAUGCUUUUAUAGCAAUGAUUAUUAUAGUGCCCCAAACUCUUCUUUCUAGUCACUUUUUCUUUGGGGUCUGGGGAUAUCACAAAAAGUUUAGCCCAAAGAAACUUAGAAAACUAUUGAUUUGGGCCACCUGGAAGGCAGGAUUGUUUCUGCCUUGUUUACCAUUAGAUUCCUAGUUCCUACCAAUUUGGUUAUCCUAUGAAUGGAUUCUAGAAGUGGAAUCUGUAUGAUGUUAAACCAAGCUUAAAUAGUAAACUUUUCCCAAGGUUUCUAUAGGUAAGACCUGUAUUUUCUUACUAUAACCUUCUCUAACCCACAUGACUUUCAUACUUCCCACUUUGUAUUAUAUUUAUUCCUAUACAUAUGUUUUAUACAUUUGAUUGUAAACUUCUAGUGAGAAAAAAAAUGCCCCCAGAUUAAUUUUGUAACUGUAUCAGUCAACUUUUUAUCACUAUGACAGAUACCUGAGAAAAAAAACUUAGAGGA
Molecule: long non-coding RNA, 1127 nt
Filed under: Marmota monax (woodchuck)
Lineage: Eukaryota; Metazoa; Chordata; Mammalia; Rodentia; Sciuridae
Source: RNAcentral